GGGCCAUAGUUCUGUGGUGGAGCAUCUGUCUUGCAAGUAUAAGGUCCCAGGUUCAAUCUCUGGCAUCUCUA
This is a non-coding RNA of Podarcis lilfordi (Lilford's wall lizard), 71 nucleotides long. Lineage: Eukaryota; Metazoa; Chordata; Lepidosauria; Squamata; Lacertidae. The record is from the annotation of a GenBank genome assembly.